UCAGAAGCCAAGCAGGGUCGGGCCUGGUUAGUACUUGGACGGGAGACCGCCUGGGAAUACCAGGUGCUGUAAGCUU
Molecule: ribosomal RNA, 76 nt
Filed under: Thunnus albacares (yellowfin tuna)
Lineage: Eukaryota; Metazoa; Chordata; Actinopteri; Scombriformes; Scombridae
Source: RNAcentral